AUACGUAGGGGGCGAGCGUUGUCCGGAAUGAUUGGGCGUAAAGGGCGCGUAGGCGGCCCGGUAAGUCUGGAGUGAAAGUCCUGUUUUUAAGAUGGGAAUUGCUUUGGAUACUGUCGGGCUUGAGUGCAGGAGAGGUAAGUGGAAUUCCCAGUGUAGCGGUGAAAUGCGUAGAGAUUGGGAGGAACACCAGUGGCGAAGGCGACUUACUGGACUGUAAUUGACGCUGAGGCGCGAAAGUGUGGGUAGCAAACAGGAUUAGAUACCCUGGUAGUCCACACUGUAAACGAUGAAUGCUAGGUGUAGGGGGUAUCGACCCCUGCUGUGCCGCAGUCAACACAAUAAGCAUUCCGCCUGGGGAGUACGGCCGCAAGGCUAAAACUCAAAUGAAUUGACGGGG
This 397-nucleotide ribosomal RNA is filed under the name uncultured bacterium. Its description in RNAcentral is "partial 16S ribosomal RNA". It matches the Rfam family "Bacterial small subunit ribosomal RNA", at positions 523 to 918 of the family's 1533-position model. The record is from RNAcentral.